AACAAAAACAUGGCCUUUUGAGAUGGAAUUUAAGGUCGGGCCUGCCCACUGACGUAGUUGAAGGGCCGCGGUAUUUUGACCGUGCAAAGGUAGCAUAAUCAUUAGUCUUUUAAUUGAGGGCUGGAAUGAAUGGUUUGACGAAAUAUUAACUGUCUCUUUAUAAUAAAUGGAAUUUAACUUUUGAGUCAAAAGGCUUAAAUGAAUAUAAAAGACGAGAAGACCCUAUAGAUCUUUAUAUAGUUAAGUAAUUGUUUUAUUUGGUUGUUUUAUUUUCAAUUGUUUUGCUGUAUUUUGUUGGGGUGACAUGAAGACAAAAAUAACUCUUUAUAAUGGGAACAUUGAUUUAUGAGUGAUUGAUCCGUUAUUAACGAUUAUAAGAUAAAGUUACCUUAGGGAUAACAGCGUAAUUUUUUUUGAGAGUUCUUAUCGACAAGAAAGAUUGCGACCUCGAUGUUGGAUUAAGGAAUAUGAUUAGGUGUAGCAGUUUAAUUAAUAAGUCUGUUCGACUUUUAAAUCCUUACGUCAUCUGAGU
This 532-nucleotide ribosomal RNA is filed under the name Anterastes babadaghi. RNAcentral describes it as "partial 16S ribosomal RNA". It matches the Rfam family "Bacterial large subunit ribosomal RNA", at positions 1806 to 2610 of the family's 2925-position model. The record is from RNAcentral. Lineage: Eukaryota; Metazoa; Arthropoda; Insecta; Orthoptera; Tettigoniidae.